UACGUAGGGGGCUAGCGUUGUCCGGAAUCAUUGGGCGUAAAGCGCGUGUAGGCGGUCCGGUAAGUCCGCUGUGAAAGUCGGGGGCUCAACCCUCGAAUGCCGGUGGAUACUGUCGGGCUAGAGUGCGGCAGAGGCGAGUGGAAUUCCUGGUGUAGCGGUGAAAUGCGCAGAUAUCAGGAGGAACACCAAUUGCGAAGGCAGCUUACUACACAGUGACUGACACUGAGGCACGAAAGCGUGGGGAGCAAGCAGG
RNAcentral lists this ribosomal RNA (253 nucleotides) under uncultured bacterium. RNAcentral's name for it is "partial 16S ribosomal RNA". It matches the Rfam family "Bacterial small subunit ribosomal RNA", at positions 524 to 776 of the family's 1533-position model. The record is from RNAcentral.